This 254-nucleotide ribosomal RNA is filed under the name uncultured bacterium. RNAcentral's name for it is "partial 16S ribosomal RNA". It matches the Rfam family "Bacterial small subunit ribosomal RNA", at positions 524 to 776 of the family's 1533-position model. The record is from RNAcentral.
UACAUAGGUCUCAAGCGUUGUUCGGAUUUAUUGGGCGUAAAGGGCGCGUAGGCGGUCAGCACAAGUCAGUUGUGAAAUCUCCGGGCUUAACUCGGAAAGGUCAACUGAUACUGUGCGACUAGAGUGCAGAAGGGGCAACUGGAAUUCUCGGUGUAGCGGUGAAAUGCGUAGAUAUCGAGAGGAACACCUGCGGCGAAGGCGGGUUGCUGGGCUGACACUGACGCUGAUGCGCGAAAGCCAGGGGAGCGAACGGG